RNAcentral lists this transfer RNA (84 nucleotides) under Candidatus Legionella polyplacis. Its description in RNAcentral is "Legionella endosymbiont of Polyplax serrata tRNA-Tyr". It matches the Rfam family "tRNA". From Rfam's summary of the family: Transfer RNA (tRNA) molecules are approximately 80 nucleotides in length. Their secondary structure includes four short double-helical elements and three loops (D, anti-codon, and T loops). Lineage: Bacteria; Pseudomonadati; Pseudomonadota; Gammaproteobacteria; Legionellales; Legionellaceae. The record is from RNAcentral.
GGAGGGGUUCCCGAGUGGUUAAAGGGAUCAGACUGUAAAUCUGACGACUUAAUGUCUUCGAAGGUUCGAAUCCUUCCUCCUCCA